UACGUAGGGUGCGAGCGUUGUCCGGAAUUAUUGGGCGUAAAGAGCUUGUAGGCGGUCUGUCGCGUCUGCUGUGAAAAUCCGGGGCUCAACCCCGGACUUGCAGUGGGUACGGGCAGACUAGAGUGUGGUAGGGGAGACUGGAAUUCCUGGUGUAGCGGUGAAAUGCGCAGAUAUCAGGAGGAACACCGAUGGCGAAGGCAGGUCUCUGGGCCACUACUGACGCUGAGAAGCGAAAGCGUGGGGAGCGAACAGG
This 253-nucleotide ribosomal RNA is filed under the name uncultured bacterium. Its description in RNAcentral is "partial 16S ribosomal RNA". It matches the Rfam family "Bacterial small subunit ribosomal RNA", at positions 524 to 776 of the family's 1533-position model. The record is from RNAcentral.